CAAAGAGGAGGGAGGGAGAGAGAGAAUGUCCUGUGGUUGGCCAGUGUGAGUGGAAUUAUGCCCCUCUCUCUCUCUCUCUCUGCGCUCCUCUCUCUCUCUCUAUCAGCUGCCCUCCUCUCUUCCCCAAUAGCUAAUCUAGUAGUGGAGGAUUCUUUUUUAAAAUAUUUUUAUGCACCUCUCAGCUGAACCUCUCCUCAUCACCAGUGAUGGAGAUGAGGGAAAAUUUUGGAGCACUGUGUUUGGCCCGUAAUUGUGGCAAAAUUUAAUCCUGCUGUUGAUAAGUAGGCAGCUGCUGAGAGGAGCUUGCGUUCUUGCUCAUGACUCAUGAGGUCCACAGCAGUCAACCGGCCGGGAUUCCACGGAGGAACGCGGCGGAGGAAGCCACCAUGGGAGGAAGUCCUGGGAAUGGCGGUCUGUGGGGCCUCUCACGUGCGUGGGGCGGCGCGGCACGUGCGGCCACCCCGCUUAAUUCCCUGGGCGUCACUGUUUAGUGCUGCCUUUCCUGUUUGAACUUUUCCUUCGUGUGCGACGUGGCACCUGCUUCUUUGAUUUUCGGUAUAGUGUUGCUCAAUGUAAUUCCUUUCUUCACCUAUAAGCACUUCAAUGGCAUAGUUUUAACCUAA
This 623-nucleotide long non-coding RNA is filed under the name Panicum hallii. Its description in RNAcentral is "long non-coding RNA (PHAL_LNC000738)". The record is from RNAcentral. Lineage: Eukaryota; Viridiplantae; Streptophyta; Magnoliopsida; Poales; Poaceae.